ACUCGGCCUCUAUAUAUUGCAGAACAUGUACAACUCAAUCAGUUCACUGCCAUAGAAAAUUUUCACCAUCAUUUAGACAGAUUUCGUGAAAAAUGCAUCGUAAGGAUGGAAAUUGCUGAAUACCUACUGCCGUUGUUGAUUUGUGGAGUUUUGCCAGUUCAGUCAUUGUACACUAAUGUUACUAAACCCUGCAUGAAGCAACAGAGAAAUGAAAAUCAGUGUGCAUUGGCUGGAAAGUGGACAAAUGAGCUUGGUUCCAAAAUGAAUAUAUCUUGCAAAGAUGGAAAUAUCUCAGGUAAAUAUCAAAGCGGCGUUGGACGAGCUAUAAAUUGGUAUGAUCUUGCAGGGAGGUAUCUCCAGGUAAAUGAAACGGAUUUCAUGGUCGGAUGGACUGUGGCUUGGAAAAAUCAAUAUAUGGAUGCCAAGUCUCUCGCAAGCUGGACUGGCGUAUACUAUGCUGAAAAAGACAAGAUAUUGACCCAGUGGGUUCUCGGUGCGUUCAAAGAUCCAAAAGAUUACUGGAGAACCUUUUCCACUAAUCAGAAUGUAUUUACCAGGGAUAAUGAAUGUUAGAUAGAGAAGAAAUUCAGUUGAUAUAUACUUAUGCAUUUUCUUUUCUUUCUAUUUCUUUGCAUAAAAAUUCUCAUGUUUAUUCAUAGAAUAAAAGUAAAGAUGCUUAAAUAAAAUUCCUCAACAAAUUUA
Molecule: long non-coding RNA, 702 nt
Organism: Saccostrea cuccullata (small rock oyster)
Lineage: Eukaryota; Metazoa; Mollusca; Bivalvia; Ostreida; Ostreidae
Exons: 3
Source: RefSeq, a predicted model, not a curated record